UUCUAAUAGAACUAAAUAUUAGUAAGAUCUGCUCAAUGAACAUUAAAUUGCCGCAAUUGAAUUGUGCUAAGGUAGCAUAAUCAUUUGUCUUUUAAUUAAAGACUAGAACGAAAGAUUUAACCUUUAAGACAUUCUCUUAUAAAAUUAAUUUAAAUUAUCCUAAAUAUAAAAAGAUAUUUAUGAAAAAAAAAGACGAUAAGACCCUGUUGAAUUUAACUUUAGUUUGACUGGGGCAGUCAAUUAAUAAUCACUUUAAUUAAUAUUAAAAAACCCAAAAUUUUUGACAAUAUAAACAAAUUACCUUAGGGAUAACAGCGUAAUAAAAUUUAAAAGAUCUUAUUUAAAAUUUUGUUUACGACCUCGAUGUUGAAUAAAUGUCUAAUAAAUGCAACCAUUUAUUAAGAAAGUCUGUUCGACUUUUAAUUUUUUACA
Molecule: ribosomal RNA, 432 nt
Filed under: Porteria sp. MR284
Lineage: Eukaryota; Metazoa; Arthropoda; Arachnida; Araneae; Desidae
Description: partial 16S ribosomal RNA
Source: RNAcentral